Molecule: transfer RNA, 43 nt
Filed under: Misumenops dalmasi
Lineage: Eukaryota; Metazoa; Arthropoda; Arachnida; Araneae; Thomisidae
Description: tRNA-Leu
Source: RNAcentral
AAUUUACUAACUUUAAUUAAACUUUAACUUUAAUUAAUUUUUA